CCAAUAGCGUAUAUUAAAGUUGCUGCAGUUAAAAAGCUCGUAGUUGAAUUUCGGGACUAAUAUGUCGGUCGUGCCUCGGUACGUACUGGCAUCGUUGGUUUCUCCUUUCUGAAGAACCAUGAUGUCAUUUAUUUGGUGUCGUGGGGAAUCAGGACUGUUACUUUGAAAAAAUUAGAGUGUUUAAAGCAGGCUCACGCUUGAAUACAUUAGCAUGGAAAUAAUGAAAUAGGACGUUUGAUUCUAUUUUGUUGGUUUCUAGGAUCGACGUAAUGAUUAAUAGGGAUAGUUGGGGGCAUUAGUAUUCAAUUGUCAGAGGUGAAAUUCUUGGAUUUAUUGAAGACUAACUACUGCGAAAGCAUUUGCCAAGGAUGUUUUCAUUAAUCAAGAACGAAAGUUAGGGGAUCGAAGACGAUCAGAUACCGUCGUAGUCUUAACCAUAAACUAUGCCGACUAGGGAUCGGAUGAUGUUAAUUUUUUAAUGACUCAUUCGGCGCCUUACG
Molecule: ribosomal RNA, 500 nt
Filed under: uncultured Glomeromycotina
Lineage: Eukaryota; Fungi; Glomeromycota
Description: partial small subunit ribosomal RNA
Rfam family: Eukaryotic small subunit ribosomal RNA
Source: RNAcentral